GCCGGGGUGGCGGAAUUGGCAGACGCAUCGGACUUAAAAUCCGAUGUCCCGUGAGGGACGUGCCGGUUCGAGUCCGGCCCCCGGCA
This 86-nucleotide transfer RNA is filed under the name Candidatus Omnitrophota bacterium. RNAcentral's name for it is "tRNA-Leu". It matches the Rfam family "tRNA". From Rfam's summary of the family: Transfer RNA (tRNA) molecules are approximately 80 nucleotides in length. Their secondary structure includes four short double-helical elements and three loops (D, anti-codon, and T loops). Lineage: Bacteria; Pseudomonadati; Candidatus Omnitrophota. The record is from RNAcentral.